Molecule: transfer RNA, 87 nt
Filed under: Parcubacteria bacterium C7867-006
Lineage: Bacteria; Candidatus Parcubacteria
Description: tRNA-Ser
Rfam family: tRNA
About the family: Transfer RNA (tRNA) molecules are approximately 80 nucleotides in length. Their secondary structure includes four short double-helical elements and three loops (D, anti-codon, and T loops). Further hydrogen bonds mediate the characteristic L-shaped molecular structure. tRNAs have two regions of fundamental functional importance: the anti-codon, which is responsible for specific mRNA codon recognition, and the 3' end, to which the tRNAs corresponding amino acid is attached (by aminoacyl-tRNA synthetases). tRNAs cope with the degeneracy of the genetic code in two manners: having more than one tRNA (with a specific anti-codon) for a particular amino acid; and 'wobble' base-pairing, i.e. permitting non-standard base-pairing at the 3rd anti-codon position.
Source: RNAcentral
GGAGAGAUGGAUGAGUGGCUUAAAUCAACGGUUUACUAAACCGUCAUACCUUAAUUGGUAUCGCGAGUUCGAAUCUCGCUCUCUCCG